RNAcentral lists this ribosomal RNA (253 nucleotides) under uncultured bacterium. Its description in RNAcentral is "partial 16S ribosomal RNA". It matches the Rfam family "Bacterial small subunit ribosomal RNA", at positions 524 to 776 of the family's 1533-position model. The record is from RNAcentral.
UACGAGGGGGGCGAGCGUUGUUCGGAAUUAUUGGGCGUAAAGGGUGCGUAGGCGGUUCCGCAAGUCCUGUGUGAAAUCUUCGGGCUCAACUCGAAGUCUGCACGGGAAACUGCGGGGCUUGAGUGUGGGAGAGGUGAGUGGAAUUCCCGGUGUAGCGGUGAAAUGCGUAGAUAUCUGGAGGAACACCGGUGGCGAAGGCGGCAUCCUGGACCGGCAUUGACGCUGAGGAGCGAAAGCCAGGGGAGCAAACGGG